RNAcentral lists this long non-coding RNA (658 nucleotides) under Anser cygnoides (Swan goose). Its description in RNAcentral is "lncRNA (ENSACDG00005008081.1)". The record is from RNAcentral. Lineage: Eukaryota; Metazoa; Chordata; Aves; Anseriformes; Anatidae.
AAAGGAAUACAAUUCAGACAGAAAUUUGUCAAGAAGACCCGCAGAGGCUGAAGAAAUAACAUCACAAAUCAUGAGUCUACCCAAGGGCACGUCUGUUCCCAAGAAUUUAUCUUUGGUUUUGCUACCCAGAAGAAAAAGAAGACCCUGGUGGCACUGUGUGCUCAUAAAACAAAAGAGAAGAAAUAAAUUAUGAAAAAGAAACUUUCGGAGACAGGGAUAGUUCAUUUGAUUCUUGCAAUGAGGAGGGGACAAAUUACUGCAGGGAGCAGUGACUGAGAGCAUGGAAAUGAUGAUCAACCACUCUGGGGCAUGUGUGGUCUCUCUCUGCUCCUUCAUCUCAUGGAAACAUGUUUCUACGUGCAUGGCUACUUGUCCAGAAAUACUCUGUCCCGGAUCCCCAUCUCCAGCUGUGUCCUUUUGCAGUCAGACCAGCGGCUGCCUCCUCCUUCCUCCCCAGCCCAGCAGCACGGCAGGGACACGGCUCUGGGCCCAGGGACCACUGCGGGCAUCACUGGGCCAGCACAAGGUGAGCCUGGGGCAGAGGCACCGGCUGGACGGGUGCACAUUCUGGCUUUAUAUUUAUUUAACAAAGGAAACAGUAGCAUCCUUACUGCUUCCUAGCAGUAGCCGAUCUAUAGCAACACUAGGAAAUUUCUGA